This 479-nucleotide ribosomal RNA is filed under the name Streptococcus sp. oral taxon C65. Its description in RNAcentral is "bacterial SSU rRNA". It matches the Rfam family "Bacterial small subunit ribosomal RNA", at positions 28 to 489 of the family's 1533-position model. The record is from RNAcentral. Lineage: Bacteria; Bacillati; Bacillota; Bacilli; Lactobacillales; Streptococcaceae.
GACGAACGCUGGCGGCGUGCCUAAUACAUGCAAGUAGAACGCUGAAGAGAGGAGCUUGCUCUUCUUGGAUGAGUUGCGAACGGGUGAGUAACGCGUAGGUAACCUGCCUUGUAGCGGGGGAUAACUAUUGGAAACGAUAGCUAAUACCGCAUAACAAUGGAUGACACAUGUCAUUUAUUUGAAAGGGGCAAUUGCUCCACUACAAGAUGGACCUGCGUUGUAUUAGCUAGUAGGAGAGGUAACGGCUCACCUAGGCGACGAUACAUAGCCGACCUGAGAGGGUGAUCGGCCACACUGGGACUGAGACACGGCCCAGACUCCUACGGGAGGCAGCAGUAGGGAAUCUUCGGCAAUGGGGGCAACCCUGACCGAGCAACGCCGCGUGAGUGAAGAGAGGUUUUCGGAUCGUAAAGCUCUGUUGUAAGUCAAGAACGGUGUGAGAGUGGAAAGUUCACACUGUGACGGUAGCUUACCAGAAA